AGGGAGUUUGAUCCUGGCUCAGGAUUAGAUACCCUGGUAGUCCAUAAUUCGGCCUAGAGUUUGAUCCUGGCUCAGGAUGAACGCUAGCGGCAGGCUUAACACAUGCAAGUCGAGGGGCAGCGCGGGGUAGCAAUACUCUGGCGGCGACCGGCGGAAGGGUGCGUAACGCGUGAGCAACUUGCCCGCAUCAGGGGGAUAACCGAUGGAAACGUCGCCUAAUACCCCGUAACAACGGUGACCGCAUGAUUACCGUUUGAAAGCUCCGGCGGAUGCGGAUGGGCUCGCGUGACAUUAGCUAGUCGGCGGGGUAACGGCCCACCGAGGCGACGAUGUCUAGGGGUUCUGAGAGGAAGGUCCCCCACACUGGAACUGAGACACGGUCCAGACUCCUACGGGAGGCAGCAGUGAGGAAUAUUGGUCAAUGGCCGGAAGGCUGAACCAGCCAUGCCGCGUGCAGGAUGACGGCCCUAUGGGUUGUAAACUGCUUUUGUGGCGGAGCAAUAAGGAUUACGUGUAAUCCGAUGAGAGUACGUCACGAAUAAGCAUCGGCUAACUCCGUGCCAGCAGCCGCGGUAAUACGGAGGAUGCGAGCGUUAUCCGGAUUUAUUGGGUUUAAAGGGUGCGUAGGCGGGUCGCCAAGUCAGGGGUGAAAUCCCGGAGCCUAACUCCGGAACUGCCUUUGAUACUGGCGGUCUUGAAUUCGGAUGCCGUGGGAGGAAUGAGUAGUGUAGCGGUGAAAUGCAUAGAUAUUACUCAGAACACCGAUUGCGAAGGCAUCUCACGAAUCCGCGAUUGACGCUGAGGCACGAAAGCGUGGGGAUCAAACAGGAUUAGAUACCCUGGUAGUCCCCU
RNAcentral lists this ribosomal RNA (852 nucleotides) under uncultured Bacteroidota bacterium. Its description in RNAcentral is "bacterial SSU rRNA". It matches the Rfam family "Bacterial small subunit ribosomal RNA", at positions 1 to 799 of the family's 1533-position model. The record is from RNAcentral. Lineage: Bacteria; Pseudomonadati; Bacteroidota.